RNAcentral lists this unclassified non-coding RNA (317 nucleotides) under Hevea brasiliensis (rubber tree). Lineage: Eukaryota; Viridiplantae; Streptophyta; Magnoliopsida; Malpighiales; Euphorbiaceae. The record is from RNAcentral.
AGCAAUCCCACUCCAUUUAUCAGGUACAUUGUUUGGAUUUUGUCAUAUUUAAAAUUUUGGAUUCUAUUUUUUUUUCCUCUUUUUUCUUGUACGUGUUAAGGAAGUUAUUUAAUUUGUACAGUAAAAACUAUACUGGGCAGCUGGGCAUACUUUUUUCUUAGUUAUGCAAGCGUUCACUUUCUUGCCUGUGAUAUUGUUUUCUGUUCAAUUUUGCUGGAACCUCUUUAUUUGUUCUGUAGUAUGAGUUAAGAACAAUUUGGUUGCCUCAACAUAAUAAAUUGAAUCCUAUGAUAAACUGUUUGGUCAAGCCUUUUGUU